AGUGGGAUAGCUGGGUCAAAUGGUGGUUCCAUUCCUAGUUUUCCAAGGAAUCUCCAUACUAUUUUUCAGAUUGGUUGUACCAAUUGCAGUCCCACCAGCAAU
RNAcentral lists this microRNA precursor (102 nucleotides) under Marmota monax (woodchuck). Lineage: Eukaryota; Metazoa; Chordata; Mammalia; Rodentia; Sciuridae. The record is from RNAcentral.